ACGAACGCUGGCGGCGUGCUUAACCCCUGCCAGUCGAACGGAAAGGCCCUGCUUUUGUGGGGUGCUCGAGUGGCGAACGGGUGACUAACACGUGAGUAACCUGCCCUUGACUUUGGGAUAACUUCAGGAAACUGGGGCUAAUAUCGGAUAGGAGCUCCUGCUGCAUGGUGGGGGUUGGAAAGUUUCGGCGGUUGGGGAUGGACUCGCGGCUUAUCAGCUUGUUGGUGGGGUAGUGGCUUACCAAGGCUUUGACGGGUAGCCGGCCUGAGAGGGUGACCGGCCACAUUGGGACUGAGAUACGGCCCAGACUCCUACGGGAGGCAGCAGUGGGGAAUAUUGCACAAUGGGCGGAAGCCUGAUGCAGCAACGCCGCGUGCGGGAUGACGGCCUUCGGGUUGUAAACCGCUUUCGCCUGUGACGAAGCGUGAGUGACGGUAAUGGGUAAAGAAGCACCGGCUAACUACGUG
RNAcentral lists this ribosomal RNA (467 nucleotides) under uncultured bacterium. RNAcentral describes it as "partial 16S ribosomal RNA". It matches the Rfam family "Bacterial small subunit ribosomal RNA", at positions 29 to 507 of the family's 1533-position model. The record is from RNAcentral.